This is a long non-coding RNA of Dermacentor andersoni, 761 nucleotides long. RefSeq lists it as uncharacterized. NCBI's taxonomy places the organism in Eukaryota, Metazoa, Arthropoda, Arachnida, Ixodida, Ixodidae. The record is from RefSeq and is a predicted model, not a curated record.
UUGCACUAAUAGUGAUAGUUACCACUGCAUUUGGAAAUUGAAAGCAUUCAUGCAGACAAGGAUGAUUCUUUAUAUUUUUGGCUACCACUUCAAAUGCCUCCACCAAGUGUUACAAUGCUGCACGCAGCCAUACUAAGGAUCUCGCAGCAACCCAUGCAGGUAAAAAGCAGAAGCAGUCAAAGUGCUGGUGUGUUCUGGACACUAUGUUUGAAAACUUUUAGGCAAGAAGAGUGCAAGAAGCAGACAUAACAACUGCAUUUAUUUCCAUAAUUCCCCAUUUGAAUGGCCUUUUCUUUUUGCUUAGACAAUGCCUACACCUAGCCACAGCAGCUCCCUCAUACAGACUCCGCAAGCCAAGAGGCCGUGGAGGCAAAUGCAGGCAGCCAGCACACCUCGAACAACCACCUUGACUGCGGGUGUGUCACCCUAGUCGCCAAGGGAACAUUUGAGGGAAAGCGACAGGCAAUGUGAACAGCCACUUCUCCAUGUAAACGAUACUCUUUCUCUCGGAUGACUCCUACGCCUCGCCUCGCCAGCACACUUGUGCACAAAGAUGCCACGGAGGCACGUGCAGGUCAGAGGCAAGAAGCAGUGGUACUGGUGUCGACAUUCACCGAAUUUCUUUUUCUUACACUGAGGCAGCCAGCACACCGCGAACAGCCACCUUGACUGCGGGUGUGUCAGUAGAUUCCUGUUGUACAUAUGCUCAUAAUAAACUUCAGUAAACUUGAACUUGGUAAUAAACUUGAAGGCAAAUGGGA